Molecule: ribosomal RNA, 241 nt
Filed under: Euphlyctis kalasgramensis
Lineage: Eukaryota; Metazoa; Chordata; Amphibia; Anura; Dicroglossidae
Description: partial 16S ribosomal RNA
Source: RNAcentral
UGGAGCUUUAAACCCAACAACAGCCCAAACACCACCACCCCAAAAAGUUUUAAGGGUAUUGCUAGUUGGUUUUAGGUUGGGGUGACCGCGGAGUAUAAACUAUCCUCCACGACGAACGGGCCUACCCCCUUACCCAAGAGCUACGCCUCUAAGGAUUAACACAUUAACGUAAAAUGAUCCAAAUAUUUGAUCAACGAACCAAGUUACCCUGGGGAUAACAGCGCAAUCCAUUUUUAGAGCC